Molecule: non-coding RNA, 26 nt
Filed under: Rattus norvegicus (Norway rat)
Lineage: Eukaryota; Metazoa; Chordata; Mammalia; Rodentia; Muridae
Source: RNAcentral
GGAAAUCCUCCUUGCUAUGUGUAAGC